Molecule: long non-coding RNA, 624 nt
Filed under: Canis lupus familiaris (dog)
Lineage: Eukaryota; Metazoa; Chordata; Mammalia; Carnivora; Canidae
Description: lncRNA (ENSCAFG00040004871.1)
Source: RNAcentral
AAUGUACAUUGUAGUGAAUGCUGAAGACAAAUACAAGUGAUCAGACUGAUAAAGAAAAUAGCACACAGAUUUUUGAGAAUUAAUUUUGGUAAUUCAAGUUGAUUAUCUGUCAUUUGCAACAGUGAAUGAUGAGCCUAACACUGGAAUAACAUUAUAAGAUUCAAAUACUGAACUCCUGGCAUCUCAUCAGGACAUUCCAUUUGACUUUACCUGGAAAUGGAGGAACGCUUGCAAAGAGAAAAUGGAACCUGUGCAUCAGAACACCGGCUCAGAAGCAGAUCAAGGAUGAGUACUUUGAGAAACACAGGUACCUUUAAGUAUUCCAUAUCAAUGACAGAAUCACUGGCUGCCCGGAGCAGAGAGGGCCACUGUGGAGCUGUCACUUCUUCAAUCACUUGUGUUUCAACUUUGAUUCAUUCCUACACUCACCAGUGGGGAGUUGUGAAGUGUGCUGCCUUCUUAUCUGCACAAAUUAAAAUGGAUCCUGCAGCAUGGAAAGGAGAAGGAAGAAAUGUUAGAAGAGAAAAGGGAACUCGCCCAGCAUGGAUUCAAAGGCAGUGGCAGAAGAUGUCGAGUGAAGAUAUGUUUGACUAUUUGACGUACAGAGCAAAAGGAUCCACUUGA